UACAGAGGGUGCGAGCGGUAAUCGGAAUUACUGGGCGUAAAGCGCACGUAGUCGGCUUUGCAAGUCGGGUGUGAAAUCCCCGGGCUCAACCUGGGAACUGCAUCCGAGACUGCAUUGCUAGAGUAUGGGAGAGGGAAGCGGAAUUUCUGGUGUAGCAGUGAAAUGCGUAGAUAUCAGAAGGAACAUCAGUGGCGAAGGCGGCUUCCUGGACCAAUACUGACGAUCAGGUGCGAAAGCGUGGGGAGCAAACAGG
Molecule: ribosomal RNA, 253 nt
Filed under: uncultured bacterium
Lineage: Bacteria
Description: partial 16S ribosomal RNA
Rfam family: Bacterial small subunit ribosomal RNA
Source: RNAcentral